Molecule: ribosomal RNA, 274 nt
Filed under: uncultured bacterium
Lineage: Bacteria
Description: partial 16S ribosomal RNA
Rfam family: Bacterial small subunit ribosomal RNA
Source: RNAcentral
AUACGGAGGGAGCGAGCGUUAAUCGGAGUUACUGGGCGUAAAGCGCGCGUAGGCGGCUUUGUAAGUCGGAUGUGAAAGCCCUGGGCUUAACCUGGGAAUGGCAUUCGAUACUGCAGAGCUAGAGUAUGGUAGAGGGAAGUGGAAUUUCCGGUGUAGCGGUGAAAUGCGUAGAUAUCGGAAGGAACACCAGUGGCGAAGGCGACUUCCUGGGCCAAUACUGACGCUGAGGUGCGAAAGCGUGGGGAGCAAACAGGAUUAGAAACCCGAGUAGUCC